CCAGAGAUGGAUUCGUGCUCGAAAGAGAACCUGCACACAGGUGCUGCAUGGCUGUCGUCAGCUCGUGUCGUGAGAUGUUGGGUUAAGUCCCGCAACGAGCGCAACCCUUGCCAUUAGUUGCUACAUUUAGUUGGGCACUCUAAUGGGACUGCCGGUGACAAACCGGAGGAAGGUGGGGAUGACGUCAAGUCCUCAUGGCCCUUAUAGGUGGGGCUACACACGUCAUACAAUGGCCGGUACAAAGGGUAGCCAACCCGCGAGGGGGAGCCAAUCCCAUAAAGCCGGUCGUAGUCCGAAUCGCAGUCUGCAACUCGACUGCGUGAAGUCGGAAUCGCUAGUAAUCGUGGAUCAGCAUGUCACGGUGAAUACGUUCCCGGGUCUU
Molecule: ribosomal RNA, 382 nt
Filed under: uncultured Comamonas sp.
Lineage: Bacteria; Pseudomonadati; Pseudomonadota; Betaproteobacteria; Burkholderiales; Comamonadaceae
Description: bacterial SSU rRNA
Rfam family: Bacterial small subunit ribosomal RNA
Source: RNAcentral